This 731-nucleotide ribosomal RNA is filed under the name uncultured bacterium. Its description in RNAcentral is "bacterial SSU rRNA". It matches the Rfam family "Bacterial small subunit ribosomal RNA", at positions 771 to 1501 of the family's 1533-position model. The record is from RNAcentral.
AACAGGAUUAGAUACCCUGGUAGUCCAUGCCGUAAACGAUGAUUACUAAGUGUUGGAGGGUUUCCGCCCUUCAGUGCUGCAGCUAACGCGUUAAGUAAUCCGCCUGGGGAGUACGACCGCAAGGUUGAAACUCAAAAGAAUUGACGGGGGCCCGCACAAGCGGUGGAGCAUGUGGUUUAAUUCGAAGCUACGCGAAGAACCUUACCAGGUCUUGACAUCUUCUGCCAACCUAAGAGAUUAGGCGUUCCCUUCGGGGACAGAAUGACAGGUGGUGCAUGGUUGUCGUCAGCUCGUGUCGUGAGAUGUUGGGUUAAGUCCCGCAACGAGCGCAACCCUUAUUACUAGUUGCCAGCAUUCAGUUGGGCACUCUAGUGAGACUGCCGGUGACAAACCGGAGGAAGGUGGGGACGACGUCAAAUCAUCAUGCCCCUUAUGACCUGGGCUACACACGUGCUACAAUGGAUGGUACAGCGAGUCGCGAAACCGCGAGGUUUAGCUAAUCUCUUAAAACCAUUCUCAGUUCGGACUGUAGGCUGCAACUCGCCUACACGAAGUCGGAAUCGCUAGUAAUCGCGGAUCAGCAUGCCGCGGUGAAUACGUUCCCGGGCCUUGUACACACCGCCCGUCACACCAUGAGAGUUUGUAACACCCAAAGUCGGUGGGGUAACCUUUUAGGAGCUAGCCGUCUAAGGUGGGACAGAUGAUUAGGGUGAAGUCGUAACAAGGUAACC